GGUGAGUAACACGUGGGCAAUCUGCCCUGCACUCUGGGAUAAGCCUGGGAAACUGGGUCUAAUACCGGAUAGGAGCCAUCUUUAGUGUGGUGGUUGGAAAGUUUUUUCGGUGUAGGAUGAGCUCGCGGCCUAUCAGCUUGUUGGUGGGGUAAUGGCCUACCAAGGCGGCGACGGGUAGCCGGCCUGAGAGGGUGUACGGCCACAUUGGGACUGAGAUACGGCCCAG
This 226-nucleotide ribosomal RNA is filed under the name uncultured Actinomycetales bacterium. Its description in RNAcentral is "partial 16S ribosomal RNA". It matches the Rfam family "Bacterial small subunit ribosomal RNA", at positions 105 to 334 of the family's 1533-position model. Lineage: Bacteria; Bacillati; Actinomycetota; Actinomycetes; Actinomycetales. The record is from RNAcentral.